Molecule: non-coding RNA, 30 nt
Filed under: Mus musculus (house mouse)
Lineage: Eukaryota; Metazoa; Chordata; Mammalia; Rodentia; Muridae
Source: RNAcentral
UGGGUGAACCACUGCUGUGACUAACGAGCC